CAUUUGGAGACGCCCUCCCCAGGCAAAUCAUUGCCCAUAACAGACACAGGUUUAAGAUCAUUCCUUUCCUGUGAUUGGCUACCUGGACUGAACAGAGCUUUAACAUCUUCCCCAAUCAAAAGAUCCUUAGGCAAUAACUUCCUUACACCAGCUAUAUAACUUCAUGCUUCGUACCAUUCCAUUCAAGGUGGAUUCUGGCUAAAGGCACACGGACAGUAAACUCAUAGAGGACAUCAACAUUCGCACUAGGAUUUGGUAAGUGAUCUUCCUCUUUGACAAGAUCUGCUUUAACAAGAGUGACGUUAGAAGCCAUAAUUUGCCCUAAACAGCUUUUACCAUUGACUUUUACACUCUCUCUGAUUUUUUCAUUAACACUCCCAUACAGAGCACUGGCCCAAUGUAUGGGGUCACCUUCUACUGAACUCACAGUAACGGCAUUUACAUAAAAGGUGGCAGCGCUGGGGUACAUUUCGUUACACCCAGACAAUUGCUCAGCGUUAUACAACAUACCAACAUUGUUAUCAACUGGACUUUCAGGAGGAUACACUUUCUGCUGUUCUUCCCUUGCUUUUUGGACGUGGAGCUGAAGUCAGACCGUGUCCUGUUGCAUCUGCCAUCGAAGAUCUGCGAGCUUCUGUUCAUGCUCAAGUUACAGUUUAUUUGCUGCCAUUUGCAUUCAAACUUUUUCUGCAUCUUCUGUAGCCUCAGGAAGCCUCUUCUGCUCCCGAGCGUGGAAUCUCCGGGGACUCGGGAUCUAGGGAUCUGCUCCCAACACUCCUGCAAGGUCAGCAGGUCUUCCUGAGCAGCGCUGCACCCCCGCUGGGUAGGUACCGCGCUGGACAAGGGGACGAGGGUGACGGGAUCACUGCAGUGCGAGCUGCUCUGGGUGUGGAUCUGGGGGAGGGGGAGAGGCUGAUCCACAAACACCUGCCGUCCCCUUCCAGAUGGGAUCGCAGCCCGUUAG
Chrysemys picta bellii (western painted turtle) is the source of this 964-nucleotide non-coding RNA. NCBI's taxonomy places the organism in Eukaryota, Metazoa, Chordata, Testudines, Emydidae. The record is from RefSeq and is a predicted model, not a curated record.